CCGGGCCCGGGGAGCCGCCCUGCAUCGCCCGUCGAGCCCCAGCAGCAGGGAGUGGAUGUUGCCGUCUGUUGCCAGAAGUUUGCAAGUCUUCCAAGGAAGGAAGAAGAAAAAAAAAAAAAUGCCUUCGCUGGGGGCGUCUGCGUAGUCCGAGGAAACGUUUGUUCGUAUUUGUAUUUAUUUGCUGAUUUUUACCUUCUGCACGCCAGCAAGACAUCGUUUCAAGUGGUUGUAAAUCUUCAGGAACUUCGUAAAGCUCCUUGUGGUACUGCUACUCAUUAACCAUAACGUGUACCUCUGGCAAGUUAAGAAAUAACACUCAGUUUGAUUGAUGGAGGACUUCCCACAUCAGUGUGGAGAUUGGAUGCAAUAGGCUGUAUAUUUACUCUGUAAGAUGGGUGGGCCAUGACAGAAGCUGUUGGAAGGCAGAGAAACAAGGAGUUAUUCCAAGGAGCUGUCAUUGCAAAAUGAGGUGUCUCGCUGGACAUCUGGCAGGGGAGUGAGAAGCUCUGUCUGCCAAGAAAGCCUUCAGGAAGGUUUUGUUCCUUAGGUAUUCUGACUGCAUUUAUAAAUGAGAAGACUUGUGACCAGCUAAGAGAGUUUGCUGCAAGGAAUGGAAUUAGCUCAUAGCCUGCUGCUCAAUGAAGAAGCAUUCAAUCAACUAGGCGAAGUUCAGAAGGCUGAGUUUAUUUUUGAGUGGCUGAGACACUUGGAGAAGCUUUUGCUAGCAACCAGCAGGAACGAUGUAAGGGAGAAGCAGAAGACUCUUGUUGAACAGCUCUUAUCAUUACUGAACAGCUCCCCGGGGCCUCCCACUCGAAAACUCCUUGCUCAGAAUCUAGCCAUACUUUAUAGUAUUGGAGACACAUUUUCUGUUUAUGAGACAAUCGAUAAAUGUAAUGAUCUUAUUCGUAGCAAAGAUGACUCUCCAAGUUACCUUCCCACCAAACUUGCUGCUGUGGUGUGUUUGGGUUCCUUGUACAAGAAGUUGGGUAGAAUACUGGCUAAUGCCUUUACUGAUACAGUGGGCAAUAUUCUUAAAGCUAUGAAGAGUGCAGAGGUAAGUGCAACUGAAGAAUACCAUGAGAACAUCCUGUGUGAUUGUGCUUUCUGGAGUUAGUAAAAGGUU
This 1126-nucleotide long non-coding RNA is filed under the name Cricetulus griseus (Chinese hamster). RNAcentral's name for it is "lncRNA (ENSCGRG00000025186.1)". The record is from RNAcentral. Lineage: Eukaryota; Metazoa; Chordata; Mammalia; Rodentia; Cricetidae.